Molecule: ribosomal RNA, 253 nt
Filed under: uncultured bacterium
Lineage: Bacteria
Description: partial 16S ribosomal RNA
Rfam family: Bacterial small subunit ribosomal RNA
Source: RNAcentral
UACAGAGGUCCCAAGCGUUGUUCGGAUUCACUGGGCGUAAAGGGUGCGUAGGCGGUCGGGUAAGUCUGACGUGAAAUCUCCAAGCUCAACUUGGAAAUGGCGUCGGAUACUAUUCGGCUCGAGGAAUGGAGGGGAGACUGGAAUUCUCGGUGUAGCAGUGAAAUGCGUAGAUAUCGAGAGGAACACCAGUGGCGAAGGCGGCAUCCUGGACUGGUCCUGACGCUCAGGAGCGAAAGCGUGGGGAGCGAUCCGG